CGAAGAGUUUCUCUUACCUGCCAACCAACCUUUCGGAAUGAGGUAUCCUUCAUACUCAAUGUCUUUUAAUGUCUUUCUGAAUCCUCCAAAAAUUGGAGGAAUCAUUCUCAGAUUCUCCAUUGCCACUCUCCAAGUGUACUUUAUCUUGGCAAGAUCUUCCCAUGUCAAAAAACUGUGGAGAUAUGGGGCACAAUGAUGUUGAUAUGUGGCAACAUGAUGUUGAUGACUUGGAUACUGAUUGGAUUGUUUGGUUGAAGUUUUGGAUGGACUAUUUGUUAUGGUUGACCCCUAUCUGCAUUUUUACAAACACGUGUUGAGUGAAAUGCGAUUUCUUUAGUGGGUUUGAUGCAUGAAAUGAUGCCAAGUAUCACCCUAUCAAUCGUUGGAUGGCUGACCUUCUGGUGACUUCUUAUAAUACCCAUUCAUCUGCCUAGGGUUAGAUAGAUGAAUUCAUUAUUCACUCUCUCUAAGUCUCGAAGUUCUUGUAACUUUUUCUCUUUCUCUAGAUAAAUCUUGAGUGAUUUGUAAUCUUGUAGAGUCGUGUGUUCUUGAGUGAAUUUUGAUGUAUAGAUCGAGAGGUUUAUAUGAUGUAAUUUUGAGUGAUUCAUCCCGAGUGCCAAAAAGUUGUAUUUUGGAUGGUUUCUUUGGUUCUGGUUUUUUAAUACAGUGGUUUCUUCCGGUGGCGGAAGUUCAAAAGGGGUAUAGGAAUUCUAUUCUGAACCUCUUGGGUUAGGCCAAAAAUCU
This 744-nucleotide long non-coding RNA is filed under the name Olea europaea subsp. europaea. The record is from RNAcentral. Lineage: Eukaryota; Viridiplantae; Streptophyta; Magnoliopsida; Lamiales; Oleaceae.